GAGGAACGCGGGCGGCGUGCCUAAUACAGGCAAGUCGAGCGAACAGAUGAGGAGCUUGCUCCUCUGACGUUAGCGGCGGACGGGUGAGUAACACGUGGAUAACCUACCUAUAAGACUGGGAUAACUUCGGGAAACCGGAGCUAAUACCGGAUAAUAUAUUGAACCGCAUGGUUCAAUAGUGAAAGACGGUUUUGCUGUCACUUAUAGAUGGAUCCGCGCCGCAUUAGCUAGUUGGUAAGGUAACGGCUUACCAAGGCAACGAUGCGUAGCCGACCUGAGAGGGUGAUCGGCCACACUGGAACUGAGACACGGUCCAGACUCCUACGGGAGGCAGCAGUAGGGAAUCUUCCGCAAUGGGCGAAAGCCUGACGGAGCAACGCCGCGUGAGUGAUGAAGGUCUUCGGAUCGUAAAACUCUGUUAUUAGGGAAGAACAAAUGUGUAAGUAACUAUGCACGUCUUGACGGUACCUAAUCAGAAAGCCCCGGCUAACUACGUC
Molecule: ribosomal RNA, 497 nt
Filed under: uncultured bacterium
Lineage: Bacteria
Description: partial 16S ribosomal RNA
Rfam family: Bacterial small subunit ribosomal RNA
Source: RNAcentral